UCUAACCUCUUUCUCCGAUUUCCUUUUAGCGUACCGCCAGAACCUCGGUCUGCCAAUAUCCGCCAUCGACCUCCGUCUCAACUGCCAAUAUCCCGCUGUCAACCUCCACCAACACUAGCAGAACCUCAAUUGUCUUUUUCCUCCACCUAUAAACUUUAUCUCCUCCACCAAAACAACAACUAUUCAAUUAAUCAAAGCUCUAUGGUUUCAAAUAGUCACAAAAUUCUAGGGUUUUUUUCUCGAUUAAGCUCGACUACAACUCCUUGUUCUCACUGAGCCUUAAUUCUAGGUUUUGGCUCGACUCUCGCAAAUUUUCUGAUUUAUUUUGCAUGAUCUUCUUUUAUUCCUUUAGUAAUUUCUCAAUAGUUCAGUCGUAACUUGCAGAUUCCAUUAGCGAGGACGAAAAUGCAACUGAUAGCUGUGGGAUAAAUAAUUGUAAGAUUUCUUAAACUUUUUUUAAUAUAAACCGUUGUGAUUUUGGAUGUAAAUUUCAGUUAAAAUGUUCCUUUUUGCUCGAUUAAGUGAUUUUUAUUUUAUUUUGGGAGUAUUUGAGUUAUGUAGUGUGAUUGAAUGGAGAUUCAAAUCCAUAUGACACAAGCAUUAAAAAGUAUCUACUCGGACUUAACAAUUACGGGAACUUGGGGUUUUUGGUUUAUUAUGGAUUUUUUUAGUUAUCGUUUUCAUGUAAAAAUUUUGUGUUAUGAGGCUUUUUUUGUUGCAUAUUUGUCUCUAUGUCUAUGAUUUAAGAAUAAUGUUGUCUUUCUAAUAGUUUGAUGCUUGUGCUUGAAACAAAUAUAGAAUUCAACGAAUCUGUUGGAGUAUUUUAAUCCAACAGAUAUUGAGUCUAUAUUUAUUGUUAAUGAUUUAGGGAAAUGAAGGGUCCAGUCCAUCGAAAAAUAUUUCGUGGUUAUGCUCGUGGUGAAGUGGUUAUCCAGUAUUGUUUCCUGCCCUCUACAUGUUUGUACUACAUGUUUACCUGAAUUAAAUGAAGAGACUGAUAUGGAACAUACCAAAUUUGGUGCUCCUAAUUAGCUGUGCUUUGUUGCAAAUUCUUCUUACUGAAGUCAUAAGCUAGCUAACUUCUUACUGUAUCACUUUCUAUUUCUGGUUAAUCUUCAUUUGGCUUCAUUGUUCUGACCUUAUUUGCAAUUUGCAUCUAGCAUUUACUAGUAUUAUGGUGACAACUUUUACGUGUAAUAGCAUUGAUGCAGUUUCAGAUCGCGAUUUUUCAUGGAGUUCCUUUCUGCAAAUUCCAUCACUGCUAAAGAAUUUGGUUUCACUGCUUAGAUAAAGAUUCCUCAAGUUAAUGUUUCCUUCUUUAGCAGUGAUUGAUCUAACUAGUUCAAUUUUAGUAUAUCUUUGCUUUUGUAUAGCG
This 1375-nucleotide long non-coding RNA is filed under the name Nicotiana tabacum (common tobacco). RNAcentral's name for it is "long non-coding RNA (NTAB_LNC010219)". Lineage: Eukaryota; Viridiplantae; Streptophyta; Magnoliopsida; Solanales; Solanaceae. The record is from RNAcentral.